ACUGACUGGCUCAGCGUGUGCCUACCCUACGCCGGCAGGCGCGGGUAACCCGUUGAACCCCAUUCGUGAUGGGGAUUUGGGAUUGCAAUUAUUCCCCAUGAAC
This 103-nucleotide non-coding RNA is filed under the name Monodelphis domestica (gray short-tailed opossum). RNAcentral describes it as "Eukaryotic small subunit ribosomal RNA". It matches the Rfam family "Eukaryotic small subunit ribosomal RNA", at positions 1502 to 1604 of the family's 1831-position model. The record is from Rfam by way of RNAcentral. Lineage: Eukaryota; Metazoa; Chordata; Mammalia; Didelphimorphia; Didelphidae.